Molecule: non-coding RNA, 1285 nt
Organism: Oryzias latipes (Japanese medaka)
Lineage: Eukaryota; Metazoa; Chordata; Actinopteri; Beloniformes; Adrianichthyidae
Source: RefSeq, a predicted model, not a curated record
UAAAGAACACAUUGCCCGACCCUGAAUUAAAAAAAAAAAAAGUGAUCGUGUCCCCAGUGGGGAGGAAAGGCAGUUAUUGAACAAAAAACCAUUACAAUGACAAACACUUUUUCAGCUGACAAGCUCCUUUACACAAUUUAUCUGGCAAUUAUAAACAAGCCAGGGAUACAAAAUGAGCUACAAAAACUAUCAGAGUGUGAUAGAUGGAUAUCAACUUUACUCCAUAUCUUCAACCUUUUUGAGAAUGAGGAGUGGGCACAGGGAAAAGCAUUGUGGCUCAAUGAGUUAGGUAGAUUCACAGGAUCAACCUGGGAUGCUUUUGGGGCAGAGGAGGACAUGGUCACAUGUAGACUUGAAUUCCUUAACAGUACAGAAGUUGUACAAACAUGUCUUAAUCCAGCCUGUCCAACUGCAAAAAGAAGAUACAACUCAAUAGAUAUUGUGUAAGUACAUUGUAAUUAUUGAUACAACUUUUACAUACACUUAUUUAACAAACUGUUUGCUUGUUUUUACUGUUAUUGUAAGAGAAACAAUAGUUUAUGUAACAUGUAGCCAUACAAGUUAUUUAUUUAUUUUAAAUUUUGUUGCAAGGUGUGAAGACCUCACUAAGUUGCAGGCUGACGUUGACAAGUGGUCCAAUGAGAUUAUCGUACUACUUCCAUGCAAAAGAGGUGCAGGGCCAUGCACAGAACAAAAACAGAACAUCAAGACGUACCUUUGUGCACGGGUUGCCAUGUCUUGUACUGGUAUCAAUCUUUCACAAAAACGCUUUGACUAAGAACCAGCAUCCAACAGCGUUGCCACAUCAGAUCGAACUUCUUGGUGAAAAGUACGAGCCGGUGGCCAUAACAUAUCACCUGAGUGCGCAAAGUCAUUUUGUUGCAUUCCACCGACUGGGAACAGACAAAAGCUGGCACUUUUAUGAUGGACUACAGGAAUCCAAGAAGGCUGGAAGAGGCGAUAUAAAAAUCUCAGACAUCAACAUACAAAAGAAACUGGGAAACAGAUGUCAGAUUGGACACAUAGUUAUGGUCAGGGUUAGCAUGAGCCCCUGACUUAAAUUUUAGUUUUUUUUGUUCAACAUUUCUUGGUUUGUUUCCUAAUUUACUUUAAAAUUCCUGUUUUGGUGUUUUGCUUCAGGUUGUCCUUCCCUUGUCCCCAUUACCUUUGAAUUGCAUAAAAUCAAAUACGGUGUAUAAUAUAUUCUUCAGUAUCUAAAUCCUUAUUUAAUGCAGGUUUGAGCAGUCUAGGUCCGGCGGUUUUUGAACAGGACCUGGUCUAAUGU